Long non-coding RNA from Homo sapiens (human), 2924 nucleotides. RefSeq lists it as uncharacterized. The record is from RefSeq and is a predicted model, not a curated record. NCBI's taxonomy places the organism in Eukaryota, Metazoa, Chordata, Mammalia, Primates, Hominidae. The transcript is spliced from 2 exons.
UGUCCCUAAUAGCAAAGGGAUAGUUGUCAAAUGUUUGGCUACUCAAUGGCCCCACUUCUACCACAGCGGUUUGAAAUCUGUCAGUUUACUUAAAAUUCAGACACAAGGGCUCCCUCUUCUACAAACUGGCUCCUUAUCCUUGAAAUGCCCAAAAGCAAAUACAGCAGAGAGAGAGAGAGAGAGAGAGAGAGAGAGAGAGAGAGAGAGAGAGAGAGAGAAAGAGACUGACUUAAAAAAAAAAAGGCCUCAAAGGUAUAGACACUGCCUGGCCAUUAGCUGCUUAUAGGAAUUUCAGUGAAAAUUUAGACUUUAGCUCUGCUCUCUUCAUGAGUCUAGCUUUGCAGAGGUUGAGCUCCUAUUAUAUGCCAGGCCCUGACAGUUGGCAGUGUCUGGUCUGGUAUGCAGUAGGCGAUCAAUACACAUUUGUUGGUAAUUGCCAAUGCAACUUUUGAAGUUUUCUUUGGUCUUGGGGAACCAGUGCCCGGUGGCAUGUGAUUUUCAUGUGGCAACUGAGGGAGUGUGUCCCCAUUUCAAACACCAGGCUUCAGCCCCUGCUUGAGGGCCACCAUGUUGCCUGUGGACAGACUCUCAUUUCCUCCCCCACACUGGGAAGGGGAUGAGAACCAUUCUCUGCCCAAAUGCAGUUUCAUGGAUGAACAGGGAUGUGUGAAAACCUGAAAGUGGCAAACAGCUUAUUGGGGUCAGAAAAUACAGAGAGGGGGGUUUGACGGGGUGCACGUUGCAAGGUGAUAUGUCAGGAAUCUGGGCAUAAAACAGGAGACUGUACUUUGCAACGGUGGCCACCAGACCCGUGUUUGGCAUUUCUAUGAUGACCCAUCACAGGCUGCUGUUAGGAGGAGCAAGUAAGACCACAUACGUAAAGGUGCUGUGUAACCUGGAAAAAGUGUUAAUUAUUAUAAGGUAUUUUGGAUGUAGCCAGGUGAAGUGUCAGAGGAUAGACAUGUUAAUUUUUUUCUCAAAUUCAUAUUCUCAGAACCAUUUCUGUAAUGAGAAUUCUUAUUAACUUCCCUUUUUUUCUCAUCUUUUUCAUAAGGCUGUUUGCUUUCAGGUUAUAUCCUUCCUAAUUUUUUGGUCCUUAAAAAGUGAUCAUAAUAGUACUUAGAGUUACUUUAAAAUGGGCACUCGACAAAAUACAUAGUUGGCUGUAUCAGCUCCCACUCCUUAGUGUGGGUAUUUUAUUGUCUGUGGGAUCAAGCUCUCUGGGUGCUUACGUAUUAGAACACCUGGAUUCAGAUUGGAGCUUUGAGAUCUUCUCUCUUUUGCUGCCUAUUCCUAUUGUCAAGUGUCGCCCAUCCUUUGACUGAGUAAUUCUCAGCUACGCUCUUUCCUUCCCGUGACCUCAGCUCUCUUCCUGUUCAGCUCAUGCCACACUUUAAUAACUACUUUGGCUCCCCAGCUAUUCACCUGUUCUUAGUCCCUCUGUGCCCCCCAAAUCUUCCAGAGCUGCUUGCUUUUCAUCAGCCACACCAUCCUUAAAAGAACUCACUGUAUGUUGCCAAAGUGAUAAGGUAGGAAAUAGAAUAAGUUGGAUAACUUUAGGAAAGGAGAUGGCAGCCUUAAUAUUUGUAUAGAUAAAGCCAUACACCCAGAAUUCCCACAUGGAUGAACAGAAACGCAUUUGAAACUGAGAGAGUUCAAGAAUGUGGCCAGAUACAAAAUAAGUACACAAAAUCAAGAGCUCCUGAGUAACGGGAAUGACCACUGAGAAAGUGCGUAAUAAUAAAAAUAGUCAUGCAUUCCACACAUGUUCGAGUUCCUGUGAUUUUCCUGGCACUGUGGUAGACACUGGACACACAGAGGAGAACUAAACAAGUGAGAUCCCGGCGCUCACAGAACCCACACUCUGCUGGGGAGGCCAACAGUCAGCACACACACAAGCCAAUGAAAACGAAAGACCACAAAAGGCUCCAGGCUCCCAUAGAGACUAAGGAGGGACCCGCUGUCAGCCAGGUGUGGUGAGGGCCUCUCUGAGGAGGCGACAUUAAGAUCUGACAGUUGAGAAUGAGGAAGGAGGCCAUUUGGGGCCUAGGGAACAGCAUGUGUGACUCAUGUACCUUGAACAAGCUGGGUCUGUUCAGGGAACAAAAAGACAUAGUGUGCUGGGAGUGGUGUGAGCUGAGAGACUGGGAGAGCGCCUGGAGUGAGGGUGGACGGGUGGGUUCAAGUCGGGGAAAGGCGCACCUGAUUCAGUUAUAAAAAGGUUAUUCUCGCUGCUGUGUGGGGAAACCAUCAGAGGCCUUGGGAUGUUUUGACUUUGGUUUCCUUCACUUCCAAUGGGUGGUCUCUGUCUCUUCUGUUAACUUCCAGGGGAAAAAUCUGUGAUUGACCUGGCUGAGACCUUCGCCCCAUACGGUCUUUGGUGGCUCAGAUGAACCAAUCCCAGUGCCUUCUAACAGUUGGAGAGUAAGAAGGAUCCUGGAGCGGGGGAACUUCUGACAGCUCCUGCUCAUCCCCGGAGAAGACAGAAGCCCAUCACCUGGUACACUUCAGAGGAACACGCACCUGACAGCCAAGGAGAACUGGGCAGUAGUCCUCGGAUGUUGGGCGUCAUUUUCCGUGGGCAGUUGGGAGUCACUGUGCUUCUCCCACAAAAACUCUUCUCACAGUCCAACUUGUAUACAAACCCAUCAGACUGCUAGCCCCAGGGCAGGUACCUACCUAUCUUCCUGUCCCAGUACUGAGGGGCUCAAUAACUAUUGUUAACCUGAAGACACCGAAAACCUUGACAGCGCUGAGCUUGUUACAGCACCAUCUUGCUGUGUGUCCAUGUGCAGGUGCAACUGUACGUGAGAUCAGCGGCCAACCACCACCCUUUCCCAGGCCACACUCCAUCAGCAAGAGACUAUGCUACACCCCAAGACGAGAUGCAGCCAAUAAACAUGUCUAUGUAUUGACCUGAAAAA